RNAcentral lists this ribosomal RNA (422 nucleotides) under uncultured prokaryote. RNAcentral describes it as "bacterial SSU rRNA". It matches the Rfam family "Bacterial small subunit ribosomal RNA", at positions 355 to 774 of the family's 1533-position model. The record is from RNAcentral.
UGAGGAAUAUUGGACAAUGGAUGGAAAUCUGAUCCAGCCAUGCCGCGUGCAGGAAGACGGCCCUAUGGGUUGUAAACUGCUUUUGUAUGGGAGCAAUAAGGUCUAUGCGUAGACUGAUGAGAGUACCAUACGAAUAAGCAUCGGCUAACUCCGUGCCAGCAGCCGCGGUCAUACGGGGGAUGCAAGCGUUAUCCGGAUUUAUUGGGUUUAAAGGAUGCGUAGGCGGUUUGAUAAGUCAGCGGUGAAAUAUUUCAGCUUAACUGAAAGGGUGCCGUUGAUACUGUCAGGCUUGAAUAUGGUUGCUGUGGGUGUAAUGUGUGGUGUAGCGGUGAAAUGCUUAGAUAGCACACAGAAUAUCGAUUGCGAAGGCAGCUCACAAAGCCAUUAUUGACGCUGAGGCACGAAAGUGUGGGGAUCGAACA